AGUGAACGCUGGCGGUAGGCCUAACACAUGCAAGUCGAACGGCAGCACAGUAAGAGCUUGCUCUUACGGGUGGCGAGUGGCGGACGGGUGAGGAAUACAUCGGAAUCUACUUUUUCGUGGGGGAUAACGUAGGGAAACUUACGCUAAUACCGCAUACGACCUACGGGUGAAAGCAGGGGAUCUUCGGACCUUUCGCGAUUGUAUGAGCCGAUGUCGGAUUAGCUAGUUGGCGGGGUAAAGGCCCACCAAGGCGACGAUCCGUAGCUGGUCUGAGAGGAUGAUCAGCCACACUGGAACUGAGACACGGUCCAGACUCCUACGGGAGGCAGCAGUGGGGAAUAUUGGACAAUGGGCGCAAGCCUGAUCCAGCCAUACCGCGUGGGUGAAGAGGGCCUUCGGGUUGUAAAGCCCUUUUGUUGGGAAAGAAAAGAAGCAGGUUAAUACCCCGCUGUUCUGACGGUACCCAAAGAAUAAGCACCGGCUAACUUCGUG
RNAcentral lists this ribosomal RNA (492 nucleotides) under uncultured bacterium. Its description in RNAcentral is "partial 16S ribosomal RNA". It matches the Rfam family "Bacterial small subunit ribosomal RNA", at positions 29 to 507 of the family's 1533-position model. The record is from RNAcentral.